UUUGCUCACCUUCACUUCAGUUGGUUCCCCUGCUCUCACUUGCUGCAUCUCCCCCGGAGCUCGGGUCAGGUCUACAAUGGCAAUGAUCAGCCCUGCCGCCGCCACCGUCGUCGCCGCCAGGCCGGCCCAAGCUCUAGGGCUCCCUCAGCUGAGGGUGACCAGGGCUGAGAAGCUGAGGUGCGCCUACUCCAAGGACGGCAAGGAGGAGGCGGCUGCGGCGACUCCGGCGGUCGUGAAAGGCGUGCCGCUGCUGGCCGCGGCGAGCGCAGCCAUGACGGCGGCGUCCCCGGCGCUGGCGCUGGUGGACGAGCGGAUGUCGACGGAGGGCACGGGGCUGAGCCUGGGGCUGAGCAACAACCUGCUGGGGUGGAUCCUGCUGGGCGUGUUCGGCCUCAUCUGGUCCCUCUACACCGUCUACUCCUCCACCCUCGACGACGACGACGAGUCCGGCGGCCUCUCCCUCUGAAGUCCCGCCACCACCACCAUCUUCCUCUUCCUCCUGCCCGCCUGCCUCAUCCUUGAAAGCUUUGCGUAAUUACCGUCAGCCUAAGCAUGGACGAAAGCAUAUCUACCAUGUAUGGGAUAUCCCAUGCAUGGUACAACCGUUCAUCUAGUUGGAUUUGGUUACAUGCACAUGCGUUCCCAUUUUCUCCAUCAAUAUUGACAACUUUUUCAAUAGCUAGCUUUGUGACAGAGAUUAAUUACCCAGUACCCACCCAUGUCUUUUCA
Molecule: RNA transcript, 729 nt
Organism: Triticum dicoccoides
Lineage: Eukaryota; Viridiplantae; Streptophyta; Magnoliopsida; Poales; Poaceae
Gene name: photosystem II reaction center W protein, chloroplastic-like
Exons: 3
Source: RefSeq, a predicted model, not a curated record